Molecule: ribosomal RNA, 253 nt
Filed under: uncultured bacterium
Lineage: Bacteria
Description: partial 16S ribosomal RNA
Rfam family: Bacterial small subunit ribosomal RNA
Source: RNAcentral
UACGUAGGGUGCGAGCGUUGUCCGGGAUUAUUGGGCGUAAAGGGCUCGUAGGCGGUUUGUCGCGUCGGGUGUGAAAACUCAGGGCUUAACCCUGAGCCUGCUUCCGAUACUGGCAGACUAGAGGUAUGCAGGGGAGAAUGGAAUUCCUGGUGUAGCGGUGAAAUGCGCAGAUAUCAGGAGGAACACCAAUGGCGAAGGCAGCACUCUGGGACGUGACUGACGCUGAGACGCGAAAGCGUGGGGAGCAAACAGG